UCCGCCAAGUUCCCAUUUCCCGGAAGUCAUCUCCUUCGUGGCGGUUGACGCGCCUUCGGUUUGCUGCCGAAGCAUUUGAUGAAAUGCUAUCGUCCUUCUGCCGGACAAGUGCUGGAACUGAAGAUGCAACUUGGAGGCGAUUCGUUCGGCCUCCGGGCCCAAUGGGCUACCGCAAAAUGGCUUUCGGAUCGCUCUUUCAGGAUGCCCCAGGCUCUUGAAUUCCGCCCUCCUCUCCCGGCCGCUUCUCCCCCUGCCAGUCUUUUCCCUCUGCUUGCUCCUGGCGGAUGAGAUCGGGGUUUGGGACUGGCCGGGGACGGCUUCGCGGGACGUUUCCUGCUCCUUUCCUUUUAACUCCCGCGAUCCGGGAGGUGCACGUCCGAGCCGCCCGGCGACUCGGCGCCGUGGGUCAUCCCUUUCGGAUCUCUUCGGUUAGAUCUGCGAAAUGGCGGAGGCGGACGGGGCCCCGUCCGCUCGCAAAGUUCAAACGAAAAUAGUUCCGGAACGCGCCGAUAUUUGUUUAUCCCGGCUGUGCCGGAGGCUCUACGGGGGCCGGGGAACGGAAGGAGCUGGCGGAAGAGGGAGAACGGUACCAUUUUCUCCGGAAAUUUCCUCCGGAGUCCAGGAUGAAGAGCAACAGCUGGCCCCGCUGCUUCACGAUACUUGGCUGCCGGAUAACAACGGAGAAAGGAAAUGUUGCCGGUCAAAGGGGAUCUCCUUUUACGGGAACGUGGCGGACCUCUUGCCCGAGGCCGUUCUCUCCCACCGCUUAGUCCAGUGCUCCUGCCGAUAGAAGGUUUUCGACUCCCUCCCUCGCGCCAGCUUUGCCGACGAGUUGGGGACUAUCGUCGCGUCAAAUGGGGCAUGCUGGCCCACCACGGCAGAGCCAGUUAACUCACAGGCCAGGCUAAUAGAGUCCACAGAUAUCCGUUACCGAGGCGCAACUGGGCAACCUGUCAUUUCCCGUUAGGACGGAGGAGUUUCCUACCCAGGAUCCCUGGGAUUCCACAGAGGGAACGUCAAACGGACUUCGGCGCGGUAGGGAAUUUGACAAAGCGGCCGAAAGCCCAAGGUCCUCGGUUCUGCAGAAGAUGAUGAUAAUGAUGAAAAUAAAAGUAAGAGAAAUAAUAGUAAUAAGCGGUUACUACGUUCCGGGCACUCAACUACGCACUGGGGCGGAUCCAAUCGAC
Molecule: long non-coding RNA, 1187 nt
Filed under: Ornithorhynchus anatinus (platypus)
Lineage: Eukaryota; Metazoa; Chordata; Mammalia; Monotremata; Ornithorhynchidae
Description: lncRNA (ENSOANG00000041702.1)
Source: RNAcentral